Notechis scutatus (mainland tiger snake) is the source of this 411-nucleotide non-coding RNA. Lineage: Eukaryota; Metazoa; Chordata; Lepidosauria; Squamata; Elapidae. The record is from RefSeq and is a predicted model, not a curated record.
UGUAACAGUAAAGCAAAGCCAGAACAGAGGUUUGUGCGCCAAAGGUAUAGAUUACUGAAAGUCAAGUGAAAUACAGUAAAGCAAAGACAGAACUGAGGUUCGCGCACCAAAGGUAUAGUUUACUGAUGGUCAAGUGAAAUACAAUAAAGCAAAGCCAGAACAGAGGUUUGCGCACCAAAGGUAUAGUUUACUGAAGGUCAAGUGAAAUACAGUAAAGCAAAGCCAGAACUGAGGUUUUCUCACCAAAGGUAUAGCUUACUGAAGGCCAAGUGAAAUACAGUAAAGGAAAGCCAGAACUGAGGUUUGUGCGCCAAAGGUAUAGUUUACUGAAGGUCAAGUGAAAUACAAUAAAGCAAAGCCAGAACUGAGAUUCGCAUGGCAAAGGUAUAGUUUACUGAAGGUCAAGUGAAA